Cebus imitator (Panamanian white-faced capuchin) is the source of this 684-nucleotide long non-coding RNA. RefSeq lists it as uncharacterized. The transcript has 2 exons. The record is from RefSeq and is a predicted model, not a curated record. NCBI's taxonomy places the organism in Eukaryota, Metazoa, Chordata, Mammalia, Primates, Cebidae.
UUUAAUGACGCAGGCGGCUCCGGCAGCCAGGCUGGGCGGCGCGGCCCACACCUUGGCUGACGGGCUGGGGUACCCUGGCUGGUAAUGAACUCUCAGAGGGUCCGGGAGCAGGGCAGCUGUGUUCCCAGCCGGCUUCCUGGGGAAUGUGGAGCAGGCGCCGGGCCCACCGCUUGCCAGGCCGAGGUCUGUGUGAGCAGAUAAAGUGAGGGGCUGAGGGCCUGGAACAGCUGUGGCGGGCCAGGCUGACUGGGAGAGGCUGAUAAGAGCCCAGAAGGAGCCCAGGCGGGCGGCGUGGCAGCGCCAGAAAUCUGACGGGGUAUCACUACUGGCAAAGAAAGUUAAACACGGCCGGAUCCGGGGGAUGGUUGGCGGACCUGCGGAGAAAGAUAAUGGCAUUGCUCCCUGACAAUGGGCUAACCAGGCUGAUUCGAGUCGCUGCGGGCUCAUGCCGCCUGCCUGCACUGUAGGUGAGGCUUUCAGCCGGCCUUUUAUUGAGUCACUGACAACGUGUGCAUGCUGGGACACACCUGCUUGCAGAAACACGCGUGAAUGCAGAACUCUGACACUCCCGCCUAUCCCACUGCACGGUCCCGGGUGCUGCUUCCAGGGCCAGUCCCGUCAUGUCCCAGGGAGCCCCUAUGUUGGCUCCAGGAUCUUAAGCAAAUAAAACACUCUAAAAAAUUU